RNAcentral lists this ribosomal RNA (253 nucleotides) under uncultured bacterium. Its description in RNAcentral is "partial 16S ribosomal RNA". It matches the Rfam family "Bacterial small subunit ribosomal RNA", at positions 524 to 776 of the family's 1533-position model. The record is from RNAcentral.
UACGGGGGGAGCAAGCGUUGUUCGGAUUUACUGGGCGUAAAGGGCGCGUAGGCGGCCAUUCAAGUCAGGGGUGAAAGCCUGUGGCUCAACCACAGAAUUGCCUUUGAUACUGUUUGGCUAGAGACCGGAAGAGGUAAGUGGAACUGCGAGUGUAGAGGUGAAAUUCGUAGAUAUUCGCAAGAACACCAGUGGCGAAGGCGGCUUACUGGUCCGGUUCUGACGCUGAGGCGCGAAAGCGUGGGGAGCAAACAGG